GAGUUUUAAAAUCAAUUAGCUCCCUCCCCCAUGUCCCCGAUAAGAGUUUGUACAAACUCUCUGUAUUUUGGCACGGAUCAUUUAUUGAAAAACACUUGAGUGAUGUUAUUAUCUGCCAGUCAGUGGGAUUUGUUUGUGGCAUCUCUUACACAGAGUGUUUCUAUGGUUACAGUUAUCAAAUUUCCACAACGUUGUAUGUAUUGUUUGUCGUUUCUGUAAUAGUUUUAAAGUUGUGUUUGUCAUCUCUAUCCUUCAUUGGAACCCAUGUGUCCAUCCCCUCCCCCUUUCCAUUCUUUGUUUUGGUCCACAGUGCUUAUACCAUAUUCGGUGUGUUUUGCCUUCGUUCCUCUGUGGUCAUUCUUCUGUUUUGUCUGUGUCUUUCUCCCUCUUGUAGAAUGGAAGCUCUUCGAGGGCAGGGUCUUUGGCCUGUUUCAUUCAUGACUGUAUUCCUAAUGUCUAGAAUGGUCACUGGUAUCCAGUAGGUGCUCAAUAAAUACUAUUUUUGGACAAAUAAAGACUAA
Molecule: long non-coding RNA, 521 nt
Filed under: Rattus norvegicus (Norway rat)
Lineage: Eukaryota; Metazoa; Chordata; Mammalia; Rodentia; Muridae
Description: long non-coding RNA NONRATT027842
Source: RNAcentral